Molecule: long non-coding RNA, 504 nt
Filed under: Ixodes scapularis (black-legged tick)
Lineage: Eukaryota; Metazoa; Arthropoda; Arachnida; Ixodida; Ixodidae
Description: uncharacterized LOC121833249, transcript variant X1
Source: RNAcentral
GGGCUGUUCGCUGUGUUGUGGCAUUCGGGCAAAGCAAGAUCGCGAUGAGACAUCACUGCAAAAGAUGCCAGAAAAAGUUUACAUCAUUGGACACGUUCUUCAAGCACACAUUAUAUCAUGAAACAUCAUCAAGAGGUGUUCCAUGCAGCGUUGUCGGCUGUGAGGCUGCAUUCAAAAAUUACAACUCAUUGCGAAGCCACAUCACAAGGUGUCAUUCUCCGCUUGCACCUCGUAAUGCAACUAACUUCCAAUCCUGCCGGACAUGCAGUGUUAGUUCCUGCAGUGAAGAGGCUUACAGGUGUCUGUCUGGACGGAACAUUGAGCCUGCCCAAAGAUGUCCUCCUCCUCGUGACAUUCCUAUGUUCAAGCCCCAAAAAUGAUGCUGUGCUCGAGUGGAGCCUCAAAAUCAACAAGGCCGAGGCAGAGUUCAAAGAUCAAAACGCAGCAGCUGUCUGCCUCCUCCCAUUGCUUGCAUCCUACUUUCAAGAAAACCUCGGAGAGCUC